RNAcentral lists this non-coding RNA (30 nucleotides) under Rattus norvegicus (Norway rat). The record is from RNAcentral. Lineage: Eukaryota; Metazoa; Chordata; Mammalia; Rodentia; Muridae.
GCGGAUGAUUGACCAUUAGGUGCCCUGCAG